ACGGGGGGUGCAAGCGUUAAUCGGAGUUAUUGGGCGUAAAGGGUGCGUAGGUGGUUCAUUAAGUUAUCUGGGAAAUUCCUGGGCUUAACCUAGGAAUGUCGGGUGAUACUGGUGAACUUGAGUAUAGUAGAGGGUAGUGGAAUUUCCGGUGUAGCGGUGAAAUGCGUAGAGAUCGGAAGGAACACCAGUGGCGAAGGCGGCUACCUGGACUAAUACUGACACUGAGGCACGAAAGCGUGGGGAGCAAACAGG
This 252-nucleotide ribosomal RNA is filed under the name uncultured bacterium. RNAcentral describes it as "partial 16S ribosomal RNA". It matches the Rfam family "Bacterial small subunit ribosomal RNA", at positions 525 to 776 of the family's 1533-position model. The record is from RNAcentral.